RNAcentral lists this ribosomal RNA (478 nucleotides) under uncultured bacterium. RNAcentral describes it as "partial 16S ribosomal RNA". It matches the Rfam family "Bacterial small subunit ribosomal RNA", at positions 28 to 523 of the family's 1533-position model. The record is from RNAcentral.
AACGAACGCUGGCGGCGUGCUUAACACAUGCAAGUCGAACGGUAAGGCCCUUCGGGGUAUGCGAGUGGCGAACGGGUGAGUAACACGUGGGUGAUCUGCCCUGCACUUCGGGAUAAGCCUGGGAAACUGGGUUUAAUACCGGAUAGGACCACUGCCUGCAUGGGUGGUGGUGGAAAGCAUUUGCGGUGUGGGAUGGGCCCGCGGCCUAUCAGCUUGUUGGUGGGGUGAUGGCCUACCAAGGCGACGACGGGUAGCCGGCCUGAGAUGGUGACCGGCCACACUGGGACUGAGAUACGGCCCAGACUCCUACGGGAGGCAGCAGUGGGGAAUAUUGCACAAUGGGCGCAAGCCUGAUGCAGCGACGCCGCGUGAGGGAUGACGGCCUUCGGGUUGUAAACCUCUUUCAGCACCGACGAAGCGCAAGUGACGGUAGGUGCAGAAGAAGGACCGGCCAACUACGUGCCAGCCGCCGCCGUAA